CAAAUGUUGAAAAACACCACAAUUUAAAUACAAUUGUGAAUCCCACAAUGAUAAAUGACUUGCCAGCUGUUUUCAUAACAGAAAAGAAAAUUACACAGGAACCUCAAAAAAGGAUCAUGAGCAAUCACCCGUGUCUGAGGAGUGUUCUAGAGACAUCUAUUUCAAACUGACCCUUCUAUUUGGUGGAAUAAUUUCUUUUACAUGUAUCAUUUCUCUUAUUUUGGGGAUUAUCAGGGAACACAGAAGACAGAAGCAUAAAAAAGUCGCUGAAUGUCAAGCACAACAGCAUGAU
Long non-coding RNA from Carassius carassius (crucian carp), 292 nucleotides. RefSeq lists it as uncharacterized. The transcript has 3 exons. NCBI's taxonomy places the organism in Eukaryota, Metazoa, Chordata, Actinopteri, Cypriniformes, Cyprinidae. The record is from RefSeq and is a predicted model, not a curated record.